UCCGACUUGACGUCGGCAGUCUCGUUAGAGUGCCCCACUUAAGGCUGGCAACUAACGACAGAGGUUGCGCUCGUUGCGGGACUUAACCCAACAUCUCACGACACGAGCUGACGACAGCCAUGCAGCACCUGUGUUCCGGUUCCCUUUCGGGCACAACCGCCUUUCAGCAGCCUUCCGGACAUGUCAAGGGUAGGUAAGGUUGUUCGCGUUGCAUCGAAUUAAUCCACAUAAUCCACCGCUUGUGCGGGUCCCCGUCAAUUCCUUUGAGUUUUAGCCUUGCGGCCGUACUCCCCAGGCGGAAUGCUUAAAGCGUUAGCGACGGCACCCGGGGACUUUAUAACCCCAGACACCAAGCAUUCAUCGUUUAAGGCUAGGACUAC
Molecule: unclassified non-coding RNA, 380 nt
Filed under: uncultured bacterium
Lineage: Bacteria
Description: contains 16S-23S intergenic spacer region
Source: RNAcentral